This 48-nucleotide transfer RNA is filed under the name Capraria frutescens. RNAcentral's name for it is "partial tRNA-Leu". Lineage: Eukaryota; Viridiplantae; Streptophyta; Magnoliopsida; Lamiales; Scrophulariaceae. The record is from RNAcentral.
AUCCGUCGACUUUAAAAGUCGUGAGGGUUCAAGUCCCUCUAUCCCCCA